This 465-nucleotide ribosomal RNA is filed under the name uncultured bacterium. RNAcentral's name for it is "partial 16S ribosomal RNA". It matches the Rfam family "Bacterial small subunit ribosomal RNA", at positions 28 to 507 of the family's 1533-position model. The record is from RNAcentral.
GACGAACGCUGGCGGCGUGCUUAACACAUGCAAGUCGAACGGAAAGGCCCCUUUGGGGGUACUCGAGUGGCGAACGGGUGAGUAACACGUGAGUAACCUGCCCUUGACUUCGGGAUAACUUCAGGAAACUGGGGCUAAUACCGGAUAGGAAUCCUUGCUGCAUGGUGGGGGUUGGAAAGCUUCGGCGGUUUUGGAUGGACUCGCGGCUUAUCAGCUUGUUGGUGGGGUAGUGGCUUACCAAGGCUUUGACGGGUAGCCGGCCUGAGAGGGCGACCGGCCACAUUGGGACUGAGAUACGGCCCAGACUCCUACGGGAGGCAGCAGUGGGGAAUAUUGCACAAUGGGCGGAGGCCUGAUGCAGAAACGCCGCGGGCGGGAUGACGGCCUUCGGGUUGUAAACCGCUUUCAGCAGGGGCGAAGCUUGUGGUGACGGUACCUGCAGAAGAAGCACCGGCUAACUACGUG